UUUUUAUGAAAAAUGAUAAUAUGCAGUGAAAUGAAAUGAAGAUGAUUAAUUUGAAACAUUAAUCAACUGGGAUGAAAUGAAAUGAGAUGAGAUGAUAUGGGAUGAAAUAUAAUCUCAGUAAAAUGGUGGUCAUUUACUGAGAUUUCUUUAGUGGACUUUUUGGAGGAUCCCGAGAAGUUACGUCCAGUGGCUUUGUUUCAUUUUCCCACAUUUGUGCACUUUCACAGAUAUUAAACAGUUAAAAAACCACCGUUAUUACACAUUUAAACCUGAAGAAAAACUAAAUAGACAAAAUAAAAAAGACUCGUAGAGAAGAACAUAGAUUAAGCAAACUAUAACAAUAUUUUUUGCUGUAUUGGGCAAACGAUUCCACGAUAGUAAUUUCCAGUCGCUUAUGGGCAUCGACAACGCUAGGGGCACAAUCAAAUCGCUCACCAUGGCGAUAUAGAAAUAACAACUCUCUACUGGUGGUAGGACCUCUUGUGAGUCCGCACGGGUAGGUACCACCAUCCUGCCUAUUUCUGCCGUGAAGCAGUAAUGCGUUUCGGUUUGAAGGGUGGGGCAGCCGUUGUAACAAUACUGAGACCUUAGAACUUAUAUCUCAAGGUGGGUGGCGCAUUUACGUUGUAGAUGUCUAUGGGCUCCAGUAACCACUUAACACCAGGUGGGCUGUGGGCACGUCCAUCCCUCUAAGCAAUAAAAAAAAACUUCAGUGUUGCCUUAUUUAAUUUUAGUGUUGCCUAAUUGGAUUAUCUACUGUAGUUAAAACUUCAGUAUCAAGGUACAUUUAGUGCGUCAGUUUACAGUUAGCUGUAGAGUGUGACAUAGCUACAUUUGGCUGCAGGUACAUUAUGUCUGGAGACGGCGUGGGUGUCGCAGGCCGCCGCCAAGCAGAGGUGCGGACGAGCCGGGAGAGUGCGACCGGAAUUUCUGUAAAUAAAACGGCUGUCUGCAAGAGAUCGCUUUUAGCGAUAAGGCCGCCUAUUGUACAACUAUAUCUGCCUGAUGACUGUUUUUUUUAAAAUGUUAAUUGUGUUUCAGUGUGCAAGAAAGUAUAUUCUCUCUC
Bombyx mori (domestic silkworm) is the source of this 1066-nucleotide long non-coding RNA. RefSeq lists it as uncharacterized. The transcript is spliced from 2 exons. Lineage: Eukaryota; Metazoa; Arthropoda; Insecta; Lepidoptera; Bombycidae. The record is from RefSeq and is a predicted model, not a curated record.